This 322-nucleotide long non-coding RNA is filed under the name Bos taurus (domestic cattle). RNAcentral describes it as "long non-coding RNA NONBTAT018485". The record is from RNAcentral. Lineage: Eukaryota; Metazoa; Chordata; Mammalia; Artiodactyla; Bovidae.
UUAUAUGUAUUGGCACUUCUUAAAGAAGCUUGAAAUGGCUCACUGAUGGUGACUGAUUAAUUUACAAUAAAAAAUUAGACUUCCAUUCUUACAAUAGUAUUCUAUGUAGCUUCCCAUAUUAGUAAACUAAAUAAGGAAAACUACACAUACUUUGAUGCAAUUAACCUUUAUCUAAUACUGCAAUGGAAAAUACAUUUAAAAUCACUCCAUAAACCUGAAUAAGAGAAAAUGAUAAAAGUAUUAAAAUAUGGCAGUAUAAUUUUAAAUAGUUUUCAAAUAUUAGUCAUUUUCCCUAUACACAAUAUUAAGAAAAUGCAUUACA